GGGGGACGCGCCGGCGCGCAGGUGAUCCUUGCAAGAUCGCCCCGGAGGGUUCGACACCCUCGUCUUCCAC
Molecule: transfer RNA, 70 nt
Filed under: Lentzea pudingi
Lineage: Bacteria; Bacillati; Actinomycetota; Actinomycetes; Pseudonocardiales; Pseudonocardiaceae
Also listed under: 2 other names
Description: tRNA-Ala
Source: RNAcentral